RNAcentral lists this ribosomal RNA (822 nucleotides) under Triticum aestivum (bread wheat). RNAcentral describes it as "partial small subunit ribosomal RNA". Lineage: Eukaryota; Viridiplantae; Streptophyta; Magnoliopsida; Poales; Poaceae. The record is from RNAcentral.
AAGUCCCGCUCCCGCUCCGGCGACCGCCGCCGCUCGCCCAACCCUAUCCCUAGGCCCCGCGCCGACUACUACGGCUCGGCGCCCUCCCGCAAGAGCGAGCGCAAGCGCAAGCCCCGCUCCUUCCCGGACUCCGCCUUGCUCUCCCAGGCCAUUGCGCCCGCCUCUUCCUCGGGCGGCGGCGGCGGGCUCGGCCUCGGCGGCCACGGGGCCGCCCAGAAGCUCUGGACCGACGCCGACGAGAUCGCGCUGCUCAACGGCGCCAUCUCCUUCCGGGCGCGCUACGGCAUCGCGCCGCGGCUCCCGGACGUCGAGGGGCUCUACGAGUCCCUCAGGGACUCCCUCUCGUCGCACAUCAACCAGGCCAAGGUCUACUACAAGCUCAAGCGCCUCAAGAGCAAGUUCUGCAACACGGCGCUGCCGCCCACCAGCACCCCGCACGAGCGCCGGGUGCGCGCCCUCUCUGCUGACCUCUGGGGCACCGAGGUCGCGCCUUCAGCAGAGGAUCUCCCAGAAGCAGAAGAGCCCGAGGAGGAGGACGCAGAUGAGGAAUAUACUGGCGCGGAUGUGCCUGUGGCGGUGUCGGUGAGGCUGCCCUUGGUCAGCGAGCUGCUAGGUGAGUACUGGAGGAGGAACGGGCGUGCCAUGUCAGGAGUGUCACUGGAGAAGGGUUUGGGGUUACUUGGUGCAGAGGAGGGCAAUGUAGCCGAGACUAGAUGGAGGAGGCAGCUUGAUGCCGAGAUGCGCACACAGUUGCGCCGACAUGAUUUGGCAAAGGAGGUCUUCGGCUUGCUCAGCGACACCAUCAAAGGCCUAGGGCCUUAG